AAAUAUCUGAAAUUUUGAUGCCGCUUUGCUCACAAUGUCAUCCUUUAUCCUUUAAACCUGGAGUUGUCUGAGGUGGUUUGCAAACUGCAAAGCGCCCUGUUCCCAAUGAUGCACCUGAGAAGUCUGUAAAUGGGGUAAAUUUAGGCAAACACACCUGGAAAAGUGGCAUUUUGGAGUGGGGAAUGCUGUGGCCGGAGGUUAGCAACCGGAUGAUGCAAAAGCGUAUUUAAGGCAGCAGUUCUGGCCUUUCCCCGCCACGGAGCAGAAGCCCCCAUAGUGAUGUGAGAAGCGGCGCUGUCCCAGUUUACUAGGAUGGGAUGGGCUUUGGAUCUAACCAGCAGCGAAGAAAACCUGCGGUGCGGCUGCGCUCGGUAGUAGGGGUCCACAAAGCGUCAGAAUCUGCAGCAGCCCCGGCCUUUGCGAGCUCCAGCUCCGAAGUCAACCCGGCCCCCAAAUUCCACUGGGAAACCUUAAGACACCGGUGUUUUUACCGUAAGAAGACCUCAGAAGCCCAUGGAAACAAGGCGAUGACGGCGCUUGAGGGUGACCAGACCUCCUCAAUCAUUCCAUCAGCCACCCAGGACUCAACAGCAGAACCUCAGAGGACUCAGCUGAAAGAGGUUUUCACUCGAGCACUAACCACAGAGAAAUGGGAAGUGCCAUCCUGCUGUCAUACGCAGCCGAUGGCUGGGUAGGACUAAAUGCCCUUCUGUGGUGAGAUGAACCAAGACGGCAGAUGGGGGAAUAACAUCAGUGAGAGAGAGAUUACGAAUGGAUCCUUGUAUUGCAGAUCAAACUGGGUUGUCUCUUCUCAAACCACCCAGGCAGUUUCUGAAUGUCCCAAGAUAGGGGUAGGAGAAAAGAAAAAAAAGACAAAACAGGAGACGGUGGGUAAGAAAACCUAAAAGGCACAAUGAGGCAAAGGCCUAAGAUGGAGGCUGGCUUUGGGAUCUGAAAUCCGGCCACAAUCCUCCUUGUUUUACCUCAAGUCCAAGAAUUGUCAAAAAGAAAACCCAGAAGGGCUAUUCAUUCUAAAUUUUAAAAUCUUUUCUUCCUGGCCUACCAAGUCCUUGUGUUUUCUUUCUAGGCGCCCAUAAAUACAACCCCAUUACAGUUCUAUUUGGCUAAUAAUUUACAGAACAUUUAAAAUACCGGGUAGGUGAACAUCUCUUCAUGGCUUUUGUGUAAGGGCCUGAAGCGAAGAGAAAAACAACUGAUUGGAGAUUCCUAUCUGGCGCCUUCUCCAGGGAAACUGACAACCAGAGAAAUCUGUUGCUAGGAUUUCUAGGACAUCUGGAAAUUCCCUUUUUGUUCUUUCUCAACAAUAUAAAAUGGUAUAUUCGCAAACCUAUCUGAAUCACCUCAAUCUAGGCCACUUUGAAAAUUUCAUUUAAAAAUGUAAUCACAGAUUUUUAAACUAAUUACCCAAUUUGCAAACAAAUCCCAGCUACUUCUGGUCUUGAACAUGGAGCAAAGGUGUGUCAGUAAGGCCAACAUUCUUAGGUUGACAGAGACAGGUUAACACAUUGGCUGGCUCAGCCUGUGAAAAAGAACCAAUGAUGAUGCACACCCUGGCUGAAGUGACAUCUGGCCAAAGGAUUCCAACAGAAUGAAUUCCAUCAACAUGGAAAAGAUAAUCCAUGGCACCAAUUCUGUGCUGCUUACAGGCAAUGGUUACCAAAUGAGUCAAAACAUGGCCUAGAAGUGGAGCCGGGCCCAAUGAAAAGCCUGAGUUCACACGUGCUAGGGGCUCCACUGACCGGCCUCUGCAGCCCAGCACCCAGUCCUCUUGCUCUGGGUGCAAGGUGAGGAGGCAGAGUGCACACACCGGCUCCUGUGUCCCCGGCCUGGCUGGCAAUGGUAAAAUGGGCUGCCUUUCUUUUGCAGCUUCUUCUAAUCGAAAUACCAAAGGGUACUGACCUCUGGCCUCAGGGAUGUGACUUGCAGUGCAAAUUUUACCUCUUCAGUGCAGAGAGUGGUCUUGAAAUCUUGCCAGUGUGUGGCCCUCCCUCAGCUCCUGCCACCCUGGGGAGCCAGGAUGCUGAAAUGCAUAAGGCAAAAGCACUGAAUCGGAUCUAUUCCCCACUGACCUUUAGUUACGAUCACUCUGCCCUGACCAGCUGGAGUUGGGCCUGUGUGAAGCCAGUGAUUUCCAACACACUGAAGAAGGUAUCUGAGUCCAGUGUGAAAGCCAAAUUCCUCCUGAAUCUGUGAUUUGGUGAAGCUCUGUGAGGUAUUUUUUGUGUGUGGAAGACUGAAAGUGAAGGGAAACAACUAAAAAAAUUAAACAGACAAAAGCA
Long non-coding RNA from Homo sapiens (human), 2300 nucleotides. RefSeq annotates it as LIMD1 antisense RNA 1. The transcript has 3 exons. NCBI's taxonomy places the organism in Eukaryota, Metazoa, Chordata, Mammalia, Primates, Hominidae. The record is from RefSeq and is marked validated.